GCAACCAGUUAAUGUAAAAAAAACAUUCUAAAGACCUUUGUAUUUAUAACCAAAGAAUUAUUCCCUGACUGCUUGUUUGCACUCAACAUUUUACAUUUGCUAAAAGCUAUUGAAAAAAAGAAACAUUUCACAGAGAAAGCCUGGGAUUGUUUACUAAAUGUAACAUUUCAUGUUCAAAUGCCAACACUGAAUGGUAAUAGUGUUGGAAUAAUAUGUAAAGCAAUAUAAAAGUUCAAUAUAUAGGAUUAACACAACAGGAGGACAAAUGUUCCAGCCGGUCAGAGGAUUUCUGCUGAAAGCUUCAUUCUCUGUUUACAUGUCAAUAGUUGAUCAACUUUGUCCUGAAUCAGCUGCUGAAUAACUUUUCUGGUGGUUGUGUAACCCAGUGUUUAAAAACACAAGAAAAAAAAUAAUAGAUGUUGAUUCAAUGUCUUAUUCUACCAGAAUAGCUAAAAGGUAAUUAGGUAAAUCUUCAAAAAUGUGAAAUAUGCUUUUAGUGUUAGCUUGUAUUGACAGAUUAGGCAGCCAAUGGCUGGCGCGGUCUGGUUUCGUGUCGGCCAAUGGGGUUGAUCGUCCCGCCCCUUUUUAUCAGCUGGCGGUUGUUUCGUUCGGAGCGCGGCAGACAGGCUUGAAAGCUAACAGCUGACGGUUGCUUCGCUCAGAACGCUUGAGAACAGCUGACGGUCGUUUCGCUGAGAACGCUGGAGAGCUAACAGCUGACGGUCGUUUCCGUAAAGAAAGAAAGAAAUUGACGAAUCUGGAAAUUGAUCUUAGAGGGUUUCCCCCGUGAACAGCUGAAGCCCGAAAAAUAGCCGUUGACAGCUCAGAGCAUCGGUCAGGUUUUUUUGUUUUUGUUUUUUUUUUAGCUUGUUUGAUACACUUUUGGCUUGGAGGGCCAAAGAUUCCAAGACCCUCUUCUCCUGAACCUGGAUGGCGAGCCCCAGCCCAGAGGACCAGGCGCACGGGUAGAUAGUGACCCGACUGGUCACCAGCUGAGAGACUGAGACUGAACAAUUGACUCAUUGGAGACUGAAGUAUUCAAUUUAUUUAUUUAUUUUUUAUUUAUUUUUUUUUAAAGCGCGCAGUAUUUGUUUGUCUGUUUUAAAUGUGGAUCCACAAUUGUUUAUUAUAUUAAAUAUUUGCUCUUUUCUUGUAGACACUGUGUGUUCUGUUGUUGCUCACACCUGGGUUCCCUCGAAUUUAAAAUCUUCUGAUUAGGCCCAACUUCCUAUAUACAUAUAGUCAAAAACCAGAUUGUGUUUUUGACCAACUUCAGACUUGGAAGAUCCCACUGAAUGUUGGUGAGAGAGGACUCUCUGGACCGCGUGGAUCUCUCCAAUCACACAUUUUUGAGGAAUUGUCACAUCAUGUUCAGUUUCAUUGGUGAGAACAACUGGUAUCAGGUAGGGUGCUCGCUCAGGUAAGCUGAUGAGACUUGGCUUUACUAGGACACCCCCAGGUAAGGUUGAAAAGGAUGGGUGCUCUAGCAGCACGGAUCUCUCUGUGGUAUUAGCUGACACCGCCACCGAGCUUUCCAGGACAACUGUCUGGCCUGCUGGAACUAGCUGAGGGCCUUUGUUAUACAUGGUUGCUAGACCAAGGCUACUGCCUUUGGUCUGUUUGUGUCUUAACUCUAGCACUUUUAAUACUGCCUUAUAGCCAUCUGAAACGAGAGGCUGUAGUCCGGGACAUGCUUUGUUAUACAAUUCAUAAAGCACAUCUAAGGUGUUAGUUCCAAUUAACACCAAAGACUGGGAAGCAGCUCGAAUGUUUGGCACGACUAAGGCAAGUGUUGACACAUCGGCUUCAAUGCCGAGAAACUCUUUUGGAAAAGUGACGUUCAUUUCAAUGUACCCUAAAUAAGGCACUGAUUGGCCGUUUGCACCUUCUACUUCGAGUAGGUCAAAAAGUGGCUUAAUCUCAUGACUAGAUAGAUGUUGUUCAUAAUAUGAUUGUGGGACCGUGGUCACCUGGGAGCCAGAAUCGAGUAAGCAGUUUACAGUAUUGCUGUUAAUCUUUACUUGAGCUGUACUUUUAGUACCGAUUAAACCUCGAGGCAGUUUGAAUCUGUCGGUUUUAGUAUGAGACUUUAAAAUGGCACGUUUUUUAGUCGGCACAUUUUGCUUUUGUUCAAGGGGACGGUUUGACUCUGUGGUAGCCUCUGUUUGUCCCUCAACAGAGGCAAACUUCAGUUUAAAGAAGCAGAGCCAUUGUGUUGUCUAUCCCAUAUUUGUCUUUUUGCUUUUAGUUCUUUACGUUUUGCCUCUACAAGUGCAGGGUUUGGCUCAGAUUCACAGUUGGCAACAAUAUGUCCGUCCUCCCCACAGCGAAAGCAGUACCAAGGCUUGGGCCGUGAACUAGGGCGGCUGUGUGAAGGUAAGUUGGGUUCAGGGUUUGCAUGGUCAGGUUUUGUUGUUUGGUUCUUCUUAGGUACUGUUUGUUUCUUUUGUUUCAUAACUGCUGCUAAUUGGCUUUUUAAAUCAGCAACCUGUUUUUCAGAUCACUUAAAGUGCUUGAAGUUGUUUCGGAAAAGUCCAUUUUUGUUUCAGUGACAGUUUGUUCAUGUGACGCUGCUUUUUGUUUGGUUGCACUAAAGUGUUUUCUCAUUCUUGUGCUUCUAACUUCUUGUCUGUUUUCUGCAGUACGGAGUAGGAGUAAUAGUUCUGCAAAUGUGGGCAGAUUAUUUCUCCUUAACUCUAACUGCAGUUCUGUCAGUAGGUUAUCAUCCCAACAGCCUCUUUGAAAUUGCUUAAGAAGCUGUCUGUCUCUUUUUCUGGGGUCUACACCACCCCGGCGCACUGCAAGACUCAGUGCUACCUGUAAGCGAUGCAAGUACGCAGAUGGUUUCUCCCCAGGAUCCUGCAAAGUGUUCAUGAAUCGCACAAGCAGUUCCUCACCAUCUUCAACAGUACCAAAUGCCGACUCAAGCAGCCUAAGAUAGUCAUCAACGGGUGCAUCAGGCCCAAGAGGCCGAAUGACAUCUGAAGCUGGAGUGAGAAGGCUUUCAAGAAUUUUUCGGGUUUUUUCCAAGUUAGAAAGAGAUGUGACA
Gambusia affinis (western mosquitofish) is the source of this 3049-nucleotide long non-coding RNA. RefSeq lists it as uncharacterized. The record is from RefSeq and is a predicted model, not a curated record. Lineage: Eukaryota; Metazoa; Chordata; Actinopteri; Cyprinodontiformes; Poeciliidae. The transcript has 3 exons.